RNAcentral lists this ribosomal RNA (454 nucleotides) under uncultured bacterium. RNAcentral describes it as "partial 16S ribosomal RNA". It matches the Rfam family "Bacterial small subunit ribosomal RNA", at positions 28 to 507 of the family's 1533-position model. The record is from RNAcentral.
GAUGAACGCUGACAGAAUGCUUAACACAUGCAAGUCAACUUGAACUUCGGUUUGGGUGGCGGACGGGCGAGUAACGCGUAAAGAACUUGCCUCACAGAUAGGGACAACAUUUGGAAACGAAUGCUAAUACCUGAUAUUAUGAUUUUAGGGCAUCCUGGGAUUAUGAAAGCUAUAUGCGCUGUGAGAGAGCUUUGCGUCCCAUUAGCUAGUUGGAGAGGUAACGGCUCACCAAGGCGAUGAUGGGUAGCCGGCCUGAGAGGGUGAUCGGCCACAAGGGGACUGAGACACGGCCCUUACUCCUACGGGAGGCAGCAGUGGGGAAUAUUGGACAAUGGACCAAGAGUCUGAUCCAGCAAUUCUGUGUGCACGAUGAAGUUUUUCGGAAUGUAAAGUGCUUUCAGUUGGGAAGAAAAAAAUGACGGUACCAACAGAAGAAGUGACGGCUAAAUACGUG